This 690-nucleotide long non-coding RNA is filed under the name Homo sapiens (human). Its description in RNAcentral is "HSALNT0131258". The record is from RNAcentral. Lineage: Eukaryota; Metazoa; Chordata; Mammalia; Primates; Hominidae.
GAUCGUUCCAGAAGUGGCCUUGGGCUGGGGAUCACCAUAGCUUUUCUAGCUACGCUGAUCACGCAGUUUCUCGUGUAUAAUGGUGUCUAUCAGUAUACAUCCCCAGAUUUCCUCUAUAUUCGUUCUUGGCUCCCUUGUAUAUUUUUCUCAGGAGGCGUCACGGUGGGGAACAUAGGACGACAGUUAGCUAUGGGUGUUCCUGAAAAGCCCCAUAGUGAUUGAGUCUUCAAAACCACCGAUUCUGAGAGCAAGGAAGAUUUUGGAAGAAAAUCUGACUGUGGAUUAUGACAAAGAUUAUCUUUUUUCUUAAGUAAUCUAUUUAGAUCGGGCUGACUGUACAAAUGACUCCUGGAAAAAACUCUUCACCUAGUCUAGAAUAGGGAGGUGGAGAAUGAUGACUUACCCUGAAGUCUUCCCUUGACUGCCCGCACUGGCGCCUGUCUGUGCCCUGGAGCAUUCUGCCCAGGCUACGUGGGUUCAGGCAGGUGGCAGCUUCCCAAGUAUUCGAUUUCAUUCAUGUGAUUAAAACAAGUUGCCAUAUUUCAAAGCCUUGAACUAAGACUCAAUUACCAACCCGCAGUUUUGUGUCAGUGCCCAAAGGAGGUAGGUUGAUGGUGCUUAACAAACAUGAAGUAUGGUGUAAUAGGAAUAAUAUUUAUCCAAAAGAUUUUUAAAAAUAGGGCUGUGUUU